Molecule: small RNA, 132 nt
Filed under: Escherichia coli
Lineage: Bacteria; Pseudomonadati; Pseudomonadota; Gammaproteobacteria; Enterobacterales; Enterobacteriaceae
Description: RtT sRNA
Rfam family: RtT RNA
About the family: This family represents a bacterial cis-regulatory element known as RtT RNA. The exact function of RtT is unknown although it is thought that it may be involved in changing the cellular response in relation to amino acid starvation.
Source: RNAcentral
AUUCUGCCCAUGCGGGGAAGAAUGAGAAGCUUCGACCAAGGUUCGACUCGAGCGCCAGCGAGAGAGCGUUGCCGCAGGCAACGACCCGAAGGGCGAAGCGCGCAGCGCUGAGUAAUCCUUCCCCCACCACCA